ACGCACGCUGGCGGCGUGCUUAACACAUGCAAGUCGAACGGAAAGGCCCUGCUUUUGUGGGGUGCUCGAGUGGCGAACGGGUGAGUAACACGUGAGUAACCUGCCCUUGACUUUGGGAUAACUUCAGGAAACUGGGGCUAAUACCGGAUAGGAGCUCCUGCUGCAUGGUGGGGGUUGGAAAGUUUCGGCGGUUGGGGAUGGACUCGCGGCGUAUCAGCUUGUUGGUGGGGUAGUGGCUUACCAAGGCUUUGACGGGUAGCCGGCCUGAGAGGGUGACCGGCCACAUUGGGACUGAGAUACGGCCCAGACUCCUACGGGAGGCAGCAGUGGGGAAUAUUGCACAAUGGGCGGAAGCCUGAUGCAGCAACGCCGCGUGCGGGAUGACGGCCUUCGGGUUGUAAACCGCUUUCGCCUGUGACGAAGCGUGAGUGACGGUAAUGGGUAAAGAAGCACCGGCUAACUACGUG
RNAcentral lists this ribosomal RNA (467 nucleotides) under uncultured bacterium. Its description in RNAcentral is "partial 16S ribosomal RNA". It matches the Rfam family "Bacterial small subunit ribosomal RNA", at positions 29 to 507 of the family's 1533-position model. The record is from RNAcentral.